Molecule: ribosomal RNA, 254 nt
Filed under: uncultured bacterium
Lineage: Bacteria
Description: partial 16S ribosomal RNA
Rfam family: Bacterial small subunit ribosomal RNA
Source: RNAcentral
UACGUAGGAUCCAAGCGUUAUCCGGAAUUACUGGGCGUAAAGCGUACGUAGGUGGAGAUUUAAGUGAGAUGCGAAAUCUUGCGGCUCAACCGUCUAGACUGUGUCUCAUACUGGGUUUCUCGAGGUUGGCAGAGGCAAGUGGAAUUUCCGGUGUAGCAGUGAAAUGCGUAGAGAUCGGAAGGAACACCAAUGGCGAAGGCAGCUUGCUGGGCCACACCUGACACUGAGGUACGAAAGCGUGGGGAGCGAACAGG